ACUCGUUAGCAAAUUAAUGAUCUGAGAAGGACCUUCUCAAGAAUGGAUAUAAAACUAUAGAAAUACAAAUAAAAUGCUAUACAGAACGUUGACGUUGAUGAUCUUCAAGUUAUUCUUCCCAUCACAGACUCAACCAAAACUAUAAGACUUGACAUCGACCUUAUCAUCACCAGUCUUGAGAGAACUAAUAGGCCUCCAAUUAAAGAAGAAGAAAAACUAUACAUGCACGGUAUGCUUCGGAAAUUUCAACAAUGGAACCUGUCUAUGCUUUCUUACUUACUGUCAUACUUUCCAUUGCCGCUGCAUUGACCAAUGUAUGUCCCAUAUGUAGGAAACAUUAUCUAUAAAUCAGCAUUAUUACAAUUUAUAAGUGAUUUCUUAUGUUCCAAUUUUCCGUUUCAUUUGCAUACUAUUUUUGAUUUUUGUUUUAAUUUUUAAACAAAAAAUAUAAAUGUUUUUCCUCAUUCUCUGAUGUGCUCCAUCACCAGAAUUAGUUUCUCACCAAAAAUCAAAUAACACAUAUACAACUGAGUUAUGUUUGGUUGCACACCUUUAAAUUCAAAUUAUUCUCUAAAAUAAAAUUUCAAAUGCUGUUCCUUUUAUAUAUUGUUCACAUUGUACUUAACAGUAUAUGUAUGUUGUUUAAAGAAAACAUAUAUUUUACUACUUAAACCAUAAAGCAUAUUUGAUAACCACUACAAAUAGAUAAAAAAAAUAUCAUUCUCUUUUAAUAUAUUUUCAUCUUCAUUUGAAAAAAAAAUCUUUACUACGACCAUAUAUAAAUUAUAACUUUUUAACAAUAAAAUAUAUGAACCCGGCGCGUAGCGCCGGAAAACCACUAAUCUAUAAUAAUAAAGUCAGCUCAUGAUAUCUCCUCAUGCUUCCACGUCCUCAAGGAGAGAGGUGAUUUUCUUGACACGUGGCAUCUCUCUCUUUCCUCAACUCAAUCCUACGAAACCAAAAUAUCUGGGCUUAACGAACUUCCUUUCUGAUAAUUUUCUAUUUGGACUCGGCAUUUUCUCUGUGUUAUUUUACUAGGCAUGUCUUCAAAUCAAACGAAGCCCAUAUGUAGAGUCUGAGUGUUUAUUAUUUUUGUAAACUCAGCCGCAUCAAACAGCCCUAAUCGUCGUCUAAGUUCUUUAUCUCUUCGUAUCACCGGAGAACAAAAACUAGAAACGUUACGGAAUCAGUAUGGAUCGAAGUGUCAUCUUUAAGGCGCUCUUAGCCUCUUAUUUAUAAUAGCUCCCCACGAUUUAUCAUUGAAUGCAUCUCCAAUGACUUCCUCACUUUAGAUCCUGGACUUUAAAAAUGUAUGUUCUAUCCCCUGAAAAUCAUCAGUUUAUUGUGAUAUGAUGCGUCCUUCCACAUUCUCCACUUCCACUCCACCCGCUUUGGAUUUGAGACGGAGUAUGGAUUGGGAGAGUGAAGAACAUCUUUCGAGAGAAAGCAUUACAUGAAUUUCCUUCCGCUGAGAAAAUCUGGGGUCGACCAAAAGAUGGUUCUCUGACACAUUGAAAAGCUGACAAAUCAAAGUAAGCUGGUUAGAAGUUUCUCCAUCGAGUUUCAAGCUCUCAGUGGAUUGGAUUUCUGCAGAGACAAUAAAAGACUCCAGCGCCGGAUUGUAGUCCGCACAUACCAAUUGGAGACGAUUAAUGGAAGCACUUAAAGAACCAUACCAAACAUCAAUGUGUAUUAUCAAACAGGUAUUGGAGCAGCAGCUCCGAAGCUGGUCAUCAGUGAAGAAGAAUAUGAUCGAAUCAAACAAGCCUUAUUCAUUCACCUAAGAAACUGUUAACAAAGGAGGCCGUAACAGGUAAUGAUCCAAGAGAUCAGCACUAGAGAAAACGAUGAGAAUGCAUAUCGUAACAUCUCCAAUAUGGAGAAGAUCCACGGCAAAGAAAUAGAGAAACCAGUCGUGAGUCACGUAGUUGCUCUAUGCAGUGGUGGUGUCGGUGUUGAUGCUACUGCCUUGUCUCUUCAGAAAAGCAUGAACCCAAUUACAGUGAUAAUUCAAUUGUGCAAAAUGCUUUUGGCACGUUGGAUUUUAGCUUAUUUCGUGGUGACAUUUGCUGAAGAUGUGAAAACACAGCAAGACUUGUCAAAAAGAAGUGAGAGGACAUAUCAAAGUAGUAAGUGAAGCUAAAUGUGAUCACUACCAAAAAUAUUAGGCACCUUCUCCUUCCCCUUUGGGUUCAUUGAUGUAAACCAAAAAUAUACCAUUAGUAUAUUACUAUAAAUUAUUUAUAAAAAUAAUUUUUUUCUU
This is a long non-coding RNA of Brassica napus (rape), 2263 nucleotides long. RefSeq lists it as uncharacterized. The transcript has 5 exons. The record is from RefSeq and is a predicted model, not a curated record. Lineage: Eukaryota; Viridiplantae; Streptophyta; Magnoliopsida; Brassicales; Brassicaceae.